AGAGUUUGAUCCUGGCUCAGGAUAAACGCUGGCGGCGUGCCUAACACAUGCAAGUCGAACGCCCUUACGCAAGUAAGGGAGUGGCGGACGGGUGAGGAACAUGUGGGUUAUCUGCCCUGGGGUGAGGAAUACCGGCGAGAAAUCGCCGACAAUACCGCAUAUGCUCGGUGACGAGCAAAGUCGCAAGACGCCACAGGAAG
RNAcentral lists this ribosomal RNA (200 nucleotides) under uncultured bacterium. Its description in RNAcentral is "partial 16S ribosomal RNA". It matches the Rfam family "Bacterial small subunit ribosomal RNA", at positions 8 to 227 of the family's 1533-position model. The record is from RNAcentral.